RNAcentral lists this small RNA (29 nucleotides) under Bombyx mori (domestic silkworm). Its description in RNAcentral is "piRNA piR-bmo-1772520". Lineage: Eukaryota; Metazoa; Arthropoda; Insecta; Lepidoptera; Bombycidae. The record is from RNAcentral.
UGCCAGACUUUGUCGAACGCUUUUGCGAC